UGGGCCGAUAAAUCAAAAAUGCUACCUCAGGAUCAAGAUGAUACAUAUGUACAAGCUCUUCCAGAGCAGGAAUAAGAACAGCAUAGGCAGCUGUUGGAGUCACUGCACUGGACAAAAAUUCCACAUACUGAAGAAGGGCUCCAUGACACCUAUCAAACUGUUCACUGACCAUUUUAAUAUAUGGGACUUCCGCAUUUAUAACUACCAGGGAACGAUGUUGAGCAAUGAGUAGCAAAAGUGGAAUUGCCAACUUUGGUUCAUCUUUUGGGAGCAAAGCAUCUCUCAGCCUGUUAGUUGAUUUAAUCAAUGCCUUGUUGUUCCGUGUUAUACCAAA
RNAcentral lists this unclassified non-coding RNA (334 nucleotides) under Hevea brasiliensis (rubber tree). The record is from RNAcentral. Lineage: Eukaryota; Viridiplantae; Streptophyta; Magnoliopsida; Malpighiales; Euphorbiaceae.